GACGAACGCUGGCGGCGUGCUUAACACAUGCAAGUCGAGCGGUAAGGCUCCUUCGGGAGUACACGAGCGGCGAACGGGUGAGUAACACGUGAGCAAUCUGCCCAUCUCUUUGGAAUAAGCGUUGGAAACGACGUCUAAUGCCGAAUACGACCUCCUUUCGCAUGAUCGGAGGUGGAAAGCUCCGGCGGAGAUGGAUGAGCUCGCGGCCUAUCAGCUAGUUGGUGAGGUAACGGCCACCAAGGCGACGACGGUAGCCGGCCUGAGAGGGUGACCGGCCACACUGGGACUGAGACACGGCCCAGACUCCUACGGAGGCAGCAGUGGGGAAUAUUGGACAAUGGGCGAAAGCCUGAUCCAGCAACGCCGCGUGAGGGAUGACGGCCUCGGU
Molecule: ribosomal RNA, 388 nt
Filed under: uncultured bacterium
Lineage: Bacteria
Description: bacterial SSU rRNA
Rfam family: Bacterial small subunit ribosomal RNA
Source: RNAcentral